This 87-nucleotide transfer RNA is filed under the name marine sediment metagenome. It matches the Rfam family "tRNA". Rfam says of the family: Transfer RNA (tRNA) molecules are approximately 80 nucleotides in length. Their secondary structure includes four short double-helical elements and three loops (D, anti-codon, and T loops). The record is from RNAcentral.
GCUCCGGUAGUGUAGCCAGGUCAACUAAGGCCUAAAGCACAGCGGCCUUUCGAGCCGCUAACGCGGGUUCAAAUCCCGCCCGGAGCA